CAAUCCAUACUAGUCUUUCUAUAUGUACAGAUAAUGUAGAAAACCUGGUAUGGAUUGUU
RNAcentral lists this microRNA precursor (59 nucleotides) under Ornithorhynchus anatinus (platypus). Its description in RNAcentral is "Oan-Mir-1422-P9_pre stem-loop". Lineage: Eukaryota; Metazoa; Chordata; Mammalia; Monotremata; Ornithorhynchidae. The record is from RNAcentral.